This 496-nucleotide ribosomal RNA is filed under the name uncultured bacterium. Its description in RNAcentral is "partial 16S ribosomal RNA". It matches the Rfam family "Bacterial small subunit ribosomal RNA", at positions 28 to 506 of the family's 1533-position model. The record is from RNAcentral.
GACGAACGCUGGCGGCGUGCCUAAUACAUGCCAGUAGAACGCUGAAGCUUGGUGCUUGCACCGAGCGGAUGAGUUGCGAACGGGUGAGUAACGCGUAGGUAACCUGCCUGGUAGCGGGGGAUAACUAUUGGAAACGAUAGCUAAUACCGCAUAAGAGUAGAUGUUGCAUGACAUUUGCUUAAAAGGUGCAAUUGCAUCACUACCAGAUGGACCUGCGUUGUAUUAGCUAGUUGGUGAGGUAACGGCUCACCAAGGCAACGAUACAUAGCCGACCUGAGAGGGUGAUCGGCCACACUGGGACUGAGACACGGCCCAGACUCCUACGGGAGGCAGCAGUAGGGAAUCUUCGGCAAUGGACGGAAGUCUGACCGAGCAACGCCGCGUGAGUGAAGAAGGUUUUCGGAUCGUAAAGCUCUGUUGUAAGAGAAGAACGAGUGUGAGAGUGGAAAGUUCACACUGUGACGGUAUCUUACCAGAAAGGGACGGCUAACUACGU